Molecule: ribosomal RNA, 430 nt
Filed under: uncultured bacterium
Lineage: Bacteria
Description: bacterial SSU rRNA
Rfam family: Bacterial small subunit ribosomal RNA
Source: RNAcentral
UGCGGAAUUUUAGAUAAUGGAGGGAACUCUGAUCUAGCGACGCCGCGUGCAGGAAGAAGGUCUUCGGAUUGUAAACUGCUGUGGUAAGGGAAAAAUGCUAUGUAGAGUGGAAAGCUACAUAGAGGGAUGGUACCUUACUAGAAAGCCCCGGCUAACUACGUGCCAGCAGCCGCGGUAAUACGUAGGGGGCGAGCGUUACCCGGAAUCACUGGGCGUAAAGGGAGCGUAGGUGGCCUAACAUGUCAACUGUGAAAACCCGGAGCUCAACUCCGGACAUGCAGUUGAAACUGGUAGGCUUGAGGACGGUAGAGGAAGACGGAACUGCCAGUGUAGGGGUAAAAUCCUUAGAUAUUGGCAGGAACGCCGGUGACGAAGGGGGUUUUCUGGGCCGGUUCUGACGCUGAUGCUCGAAAGCCAGGGGAGCGAACGG